UGGGGAAUUUUGGACAAUGGGGGCACCCUGAUCCAGCCAUCCCGCGUGUGCGAUGAAGGCCUUCGGGUUGUAAAGCACUUUUGGCAGGGAAGAAACAGCCUGGGAUAAUACCCCGGGGCGACUGACGGUACCUGCAGAAUAAGCACCGGCUAACUACGUGCCAGCAGCCGCGGUAAUACGUAGGGUGCAAAGCGUUAAUCGGAAUUACUGGGCGUAAAAGCGUGCGCAGGCGGUUCGGAAAGAAAGGUGUGAAAUCCCAGGGCUUAACCUUGGAACUGCACUUUUAACUACCGAGCUAGAGUACGUCAGAGGGGGGUAGAAUUCCACGUGUAGCAGUGAAAAUGCGUAGAGAUGUGGAGGAAUACCGAUGGCGAAGGCAGCCCCCCUGGGAUGAUACUGACGCUCAUGCACGAAAGCGUGGGGAGCAAAACAGGAUUAGAUACCCCUGGGUAGUCCACGCCCCUAAACGAUGUCAACUAGCUGUUGGGGUUUAAUUAACCUUAGUAGCGCAGCUAAACGCGUGAAGUUGACCGCCUGGGGAGUACGGUCGCAAGAUUAAAACUC
This 564-nucleotide ribosomal RNA is filed under the name uncultured bacterium. Its description in RNAcentral is "partial 16S ribosomal RNA". It matches the Rfam family "Bacterial small subunit ribosomal RNA", at positions 355 to 902 of the family's 1533-position model. The record is from RNAcentral.